Molecule: non-coding RNA, 30 nt
Filed under: Cricetulus griseus (Chinese hamster)
Lineage: Eukaryota; Metazoa; Chordata; Mammalia; Rodentia; Cricetidae
Source: RNAcentral
AGGAUACUGAGUCAGGCAAGCCUCCGAGGC